AGUGAACGCUGGCGGUAGGCCUAAUACAUGCAAGUCGAACGGCAGCACAGUAAGAGCUUGCUCUUACGGGUGGCGAGUGGCGGACGGGUGAGGCAUACAUCGGAAUCUACUUUUUCGUGGGGGAUAACGUAGGGACACUUACGAUAAUACCGCAUACGACCUACGGGUGAAAGCAGGGGAUAUUCGGACCUUGCGCGAUUGAAUGAGCCGAUGUCGGAUUAGCUAGUUGGCGGGGUAAAGGCCCACCAAGGCGACGAUCCGUAGCUGGUCUGAGAGGAUGAUCAGCCACACUGGAACUGAGACACGGUCCAGACUCCUACGGGAGGCAGCAGUGGGGAAUAUUGGGCAAUGGGCGCAAGCCUGAUCCAGCCAUACCGCGUGGGUGAAGAAGGCCUUCGGGUUGUAAAGCCCUUUUGUUGGGAAAGAAAAGCAGCAGGUUAAUACCCCGCUGUUCUGACGGUACCCAAAGAAUAAGCACCGGCUAACUUCGUG
This 492-nucleotide ribosomal RNA is filed under the name uncultured bacterium. RNAcentral describes it as "partial 16S ribosomal RNA". It matches the Rfam family "Bacterial small subunit ribosomal RNA", at positions 29 to 507 of the family's 1533-position model. The record is from RNAcentral.